UUGAUAUUGGCCACACCAUUAAAAAUCUGUUUACCAUGAUAUCCGAUUGGAUUGGUGCGUGACUAUCUGCCGUUCGGAGUCAGAUUAAGGUCCCUCCGUUUGUGGAACAACAUCAAGACGCACACCACAAAUAGGAGGAGGAACUCGGCCAAACACAAAUAAAGGGUGCACGCCGGCAAUUAUGUUAAAAUUUCCUUCAGCGCGUGCAAUUCGUAUGAGCCUAACCGAAAUUCAACGUCGAGCGUCAAAAUCUAACUGGAUUUCCGACUUGUGUUUUGCGUGACAUUGCAUUUCAGAAAAUAUUUCAGAUGCAACGAAUAACAAAUCACUGAGUGGCACCGCCCGUUUUUCAAAAUUUUACUUUCUUCAUCACUUUUACCAAAUUUAUGUAAUUUUGCUUCGCGACCUCGGCGGUCACCUCCAAAGACCACCAAAUGCAAAUAGUUCCUUACCUAAAGGGUGGGUAAGUUUCAAGGGCCGGUGUUGAUUUUGAAUAAAAUACAAUUAUUUUAGGAAAUUGUUGUCAUUUCUCUUUAUUAUGAUAAUAUUGGUAUAGCUCAAUUACGUACGGAAAAAAAUAUCGGCCUUGGCGGCACACCUCCAUCCAAUGGUCCAAAUUUUCGAUGACGCUGAGGCAUAAUUGAGGUUCUAUGCCGUUAAUGUGCCGAAUUAUUUCACCCUUUAGCUCAUGAAUUGUUGCUGGCUUAUCGACGUACACCUUUUCUUUCAAAUAACCCCAAAGAAAGAAGUCCAACGGUGUCGUUGACGUUUAGGUGUGGUUCACAUUCAACAUCGGCCCUUGAAAUGUAACCACCCUUUAUAUAUGUAUGUACCAAGUUCCAUUGAAAUGUAUUAAUUUUUGCUCGAGCUAUCGUGCGUUCGACAACCAUUCCCACUUAACUUAUCGUGCGCACGGGUGGACGAACAGAAAUUACCAAAUGGACUGCUCUCAUCAUUCUGAGUAUUUUGAUCUAGAAAUAUGUACAUCUAUGUAUAUACAUUUACAACCUUUAUGCGAAAAAGUUAUAACGCCGUUGUGCACAAAUACGCUGGCAUAACAAAUUGAUGGUUAUUGGUAUUUGUGCCAUUGACCUUUCAUUGCUACCUUUGCUACUUAUUAAAUUAAAGCAAAUAUUUGUUGUUGUACUUUGUAGUUUUUUUUUUUUAAUUUUACUCUGUUUAUUGACAAAAUUUUAAACGUCAUUUAUACAUUGGAAUAAUUAAUAUAAUUAAUUUCAUCUUUACACUAACAAAGCUUCAAAUUAUCAAAUUAAGUGCUAUUUUUAAAUUAACUAAAUCAAAUAAAUAUGGAAUUGUAAACGAAAAAACAAUCAA
Anastrepha ludens (Mexican fruit fly) is the source of this 1335-nucleotide long non-coding RNA. RefSeq lists it as uncharacterized. Lineage: Eukaryota; Metazoa; Arthropoda; Insecta; Diptera; Tephritidae. The transcript is spliced from 3 exons. The record is from RefSeq and is a predicted model, not a curated record.